CGGGGUGAGUAAUGUAUGGGGAUCUGCCUGAUGGCGGGGGAUAACUACUGGAAACGGUAGCUAAUACCGCAUAACGUCGCAAGACCAAGAGGGGACCUUCGGGCCUCUUGCCAUCGGAUGUGCCCAGAUGGGAUUAGCUAGUAGGUGGGGUAACGGCUCACCUAGGCGAUGAUCCCUAGCUGGUCUGAGAGGAUGACCAGCCACACUGGAACUGAGACACGGUCCAG
Molecule: ribosomal RNA, 227 nt
Filed under: uncultured bacterium
Lineage: Bacteria
Description: partial 16S ribosomal RNA
Rfam family: Bacterial small subunit ribosomal RNA
Source: RNAcentral